Molecule: ribosomal RNA, 832 nt
Filed under: uncultured bacterium
Lineage: Bacteria
Description: SSU rRNA
Rfam family: Bacterial small subunit ribosomal RNA
Source: RNAcentral
AGUCGAGGGGCAGCACGAAUUAGCUUGCUAAUUUGGUGGCGACCGGCGCACGGGUGCGUAACGCGUAUGCAACCUACCUUAUACAGGAGUAUAGCCCGGAGAAAUUCGGAUUAAUCCUCCAUGGUACUGAGACACCGCAUGGUGCUUCAGUUAAAGCUUCGGCGGUAUAAGAUGGGCAUGCGUCCUAUUAGCUAGAUGGUAAGGUAACGGCUUACCAUGGCUACGAUAGGUAGGGGGCCUGAGAGGGUGGUCCCCCACACUGGUACUGAGACACGGACCAGACUCCUACGGGAGGCAGCAGUGAGGAAUAUUGGUCAAUGGGCGCAAGCCUGAACCAGCCAUGCCGCGUGCAGGAAGAAUGCCCUAUGGGUUGUAAACUGCUUUUAUUUGGGAAUAAACCUUUCUACGUGUAGGAAGCUGAAGGUACCAAAUGAAUAAGCACCGGCUAACUCCGUGCCAGCAGCCGCGGUAAUACGGAGGGUGCAAGCGUUAUCCGGAAUCAUUGGGUUUAAAGGGUCCGCAGGCGGAUUUAUAAGUCAGUGGUGAAAGCCUACAGCUUAACUGUAGAACUGCCAUUGAAACUGUAAGUCUUGAAUUCGGUCGAAGUGGGCGGAAUGUGUAGUGUAGCGGUGAAAUGCAUAGAUAUUACACAGAACACCGAUAGCGAAGGCAGCUCACUAGGCCUGGAUUGACGCUCAGGGACGAAAGCGUGGGGAUCAAACAGGAUUAGAUACCCUGGUAGUCCACGCUGUAAACGAUGAUUACUCGUUUUCGGCGAUAUACAGUCGGAGACUAAGCGAAAGUGAUAAGUAAUCCACCUGGGGAGUACGAU